GGGGCAGCAGUCUUAGCUUUAAGCGAUGGCGACCGGCGCACGGGUGAGUAACACGUAUCCACCUGCCGUCUACUCUUGGACAGCCUUCUGAAAGGAAGAUUAAUACAAGAUGGCUCCGCAUGUUUAAAGGUAUUCCGGUAGACGAUGGGGAUGCGUUCCAUUAGAUAGUAGGCGGGGUAACGGCCCACCUAGUCUUCGAUGGAUAGGGGUUCUGAGAGGAAGGUCCCCCACAUUGGAACUGAGACACGGUCCAAACUCCUACGGGAGGCAGCAGUGAGGAAUAUUGGUCAAUGGGCGAGAGCCUGAACCAGCCAAGUAGCGUGAAGGAUGACUGCCUAUGGGUUGUAAACU
RNAcentral lists this ribosomal RNA (351 nucleotides) under uncultured bacterium. RNAcentral's name for it is "bacterial SSU rRNA". It matches the Rfam family "Bacterial small subunit ribosomal RNA", at positions 66 to 431 of the family's 1533-position model. The record is from RNAcentral.